CUUUGAGCAGGGGGUUGGACUAGAUGACCUCCUGAGGUCCCUUCCAACCUUGAUAUUCUAUGAUUCUAAGGCAUCACACUUUGGGUCACAGGUAAUGACAGUGGCCACUGGACACUUUAUGGAAAGAUCUGUAAUGAUGCCUCAGAAAUUUUUGCUACCAUCAGUCUUUCAGCUCAUCAGCACUCAAAAGAGCAGAUAAUGCUAACAGGAUGAGUUGGCAAGCAUCAAUGUGUUUUGCACAUAAAAGUGAUACAUUGGCUGGAGGUGUUGGGCUAGAUGACUUAAUGGAGCUUUUCCAUCUUUAAUGCUUAUGGUUUUCCAAAGGUGGUUUCAAAGGCAGCAUUGCAAUAUCUCAUCCCCUUUGGGUAGGUGAGUGGGUUGUAUGCUCUCUGCAGUGAGUCAUCCUCAUCUUGUUUAACUGCAAAGUACAUUUUUUUGUUUAUUUACGAGUUCCAGAUCUGUCUGUCUGAUGAUGCAUGCAGCCCAUAAACUUCAGUGCACCGGCUCUCCGUACUUUCCAGUAAAGGCCUGCCAAGUGGAGGGAUGUGAAAGGAGAUAACUCUACAGGAUGUCAGGGGGCAUUUUAAGAGGUUCAGCAGACGAUGCAUGUUGACGGGCCCUGGAAGGGAAAGUUGAUGGCCAAAGAGUGAGAGGCAGAAAAAGAAGCUCUUGGAGGACAACGCGGUAUCCCAGGUGGAUCAAAAGGACUAUUCAUCCACAAAGAGAUUAAGAGAGGACCAUACAGAAUGGGCUACCACGGUUGCAAACCUCUAGUAAUGGAGAAGCCAUAUAAGAAGAAGAUGAGCUUUUCAACAUCUUAUGGCACUGUAUGUGCUUUGCUUGAGAUUGCAGGAAAUUUUUCAUUUUGUGUUUCCCUUGACUACAAUGUAUCAAAAGACUUUUUGAUUUUGAAGGAGCAACUUGUUUGAAAGAAGAUUAAUUCUGCUUAACUUAGGUUUUCAGGUUUUAUUUGAGAGAGAUUAAUUUGAACUACUUAUGUCCACUGAUGAGUUAGUUCUACAUGAACUGUAUUAAUGGGGUAAAAUGGUCGUCCCUGUAGACAGCUUCAUAUAGACCCCUGCUCAAUGAGCCAAAACAAACCAACACGUUGUUAGGCUGCAUAAAGGAUGGGGCAGACAAUAAUGCUGAAAAUAUUAUAAUGCCAUUAUACAUAUCAAGAGGGAACAUUAUGUACAGUUCUGGUCACCUCCGUCUGCAAAAAGCUACAGCAGAAAGAGAAGGGUUCCGGGACGGUUGCUCAAACUAAUGAGCAUCAAUGAGAGACUUUCAAAAGAGGAAAUAUCAAAAAGACUGGGACAUUUGAGUUUAGAGAGGAGAUGACUGUGAAGGGACGUGAUAGUAGAAUACAAAAUAAUGAAUGGUAUAAGGUAAAUCAGGGAUGCUCCUAUCUGUCUAUAUCUCAUAGUACCACCACAAGGACACUCCAAUAAAAUUGAAAGGUGACUCAUUUUAAGCUGAUAAAAGGAAGCACUUUUUAAUUACAUACUCCACAACUAACCUGUGGAACUCAUUGUCACAAGCUAAUGCUAAAGCCAAGAGCAUGAUUUAAAAAAAAGGGUUAGACAUUUAUGAGUGACAUUUUCAAAACAUCUAAAUGACUUAGGAGCACAAGUCCCAUUGAAAGUCUGUGGGUAAUAAGAACAUUCACAGUUACAUUAAGUAGAAUAAAAAUAAGUAUAAGAGAUAAAUAACACUCAUGCCUCAAGACAUCAACCAACCACUAAGGGACAGUAAGAAACUUCCUUUACAGAUUAUGCCACCUUCUUCUGAAGUAUGUGGUACUAGCCACUGUUGCAGCCAGAAUAUCUAUGUAUGGUGCUUAUGUGGCCCCAUGGCCUUUGCAGCUAAGCACCUCACAAUUUUAAUGUAUUUAUCCUCAUGGUACCCUGGUCAGGUUAAGAAGUGCUAUUGUCUUCAUUUUACCAAUAGGAGAUCGGACACAGCAAGUGACUUGCCUAAGAUCACAUAGAUAAUUUGUAGAGGAGUAGGGACUUGAACCUGGUUUCCCAGCUAGGACUCUACCCACCCUUCCUGCAUAGUGGUCUAGACAGAGCACUGAUCUGACUCUGCCUGUGAAUUCCUGCAUUCCUAGUUCAUUUAGCUCUGUUGUUGAUCUACUCAUAACAGCUGCUAUUUCUCCUUGACUGGUAUGUCAGGUAUGCUACUGUAUCUCAUGGUGACAUGCCAUAUCCUGCAAGGUCCUGAGCACUUGCAACUCCCAUUACCUCAGGACUUUAAAUUUGGCUUGAGGUGUUUAAUGGAUGGAGACAAACAAUCCUACGGCCUUCACAGUGUGUAUUAUUGAUUUGUUAAGCUAAAAUAAAUACAGCUGGAAUGUGAAAACCAAUUCAGACAGCCCAAUGUUGCCUGUAUCUAUCUUUGGUGUGGUUUCAAAGCAAACCCUUAAAUCACUGUCGGAGUCUUGUUUCACGGGUUGUCCUGACACAUAUUGCAAGGGUGACAGAAGAAAUAAAGAACGCAUAUAAAUAUAGAACCAAAAUUGAUACAUGACUUGGAAUCUGGGGCCUGAUUCACCUCUACACUAUUGCAGUUUGACACUGGUGUAAAUCCACUGAUUGCAAUGAAAUUAUCAGCUAUAGAAGUCCUGGGAAUUCAAAUACCAUCAAAAACAGAUUUAAAAAUACAGGUAGACAUCAAUAACUUCUUUGAGAGAACAACUACUUCUGCCCUGGCCCAGUUUCAGGCUGUAACUCAUAGAAAACCACAGUCUGAUGGGUUUGGGUGCAGCCUUUUUCUCUUAACUGUCCUUCAAUAACUGCGUAGGAAUUUUAUAAAAAGUGAUCAAAACCAGAUCUUUUUGUUCUUUUUAGGCAAUGAAUUUGCUUCCAGCAGCACGAAUAAUCAUCCAUGAUGGAGCCUGUGUUAGAUCUCUGUCUGCACUGCAACACAGGGAAAUGUAAAUGAAAUCCGCCCGUUUAGAUGUCUUUAAUGUGAAGCUGCCACCUGGGAUUGUACUGAGAGUCUUUUGACCAAAUUCAGCAAGGGGAUAGGGUAUACCACUAAAGACAUAACAGGGAGCACAGAAUCUGCUCUUCAUUUAAAUGCCUCCUACAUGCUCAUUACUUGUGUGAUACUCAUAAAGAGUCAGUCAAUCAUUUCAGUGCCUAGAAUUGCAUUCUUAAUGAUGAAUCUCCCUAAUUAAUCCCUUCUCUGAGCUUUGCAGUGAGCCCUGUGCCGUGUCUGUCUUGUUUAAGUUGUAUGUGCUGCCUCAGGAUCAAGGCCAUCUUCAUUCUGGGGGAAAAUUUCAAAAGCACCUAAGGGCCACAGGAGCACAAAUGCUACUAGAAAUCAAUGGGGCUCGUGCUCCCAAAUCCCAGGGUUGGAGCACCCACAGAGAAAAAUUAGUGGGUGUUUAGCACCCAUCAGCAGCCAAGCUCCCCUUCCUCCUCCCACUCCUGCCCGCUGCUGGCCCCCGCCGAUCAAUUCCUCCUCCUCCCUCCCAGUGCUUCCUGCAUGCCAUGGAGGCUAUAUGUCCUGGAGGGCUAACCCAGACCACGCACUGGGGAUCUUUUGCUUAUUCUUAAUAAUCCUUGCUCCUCGCAGUCCAAGCAGCAUAAAGAUAGAGUUUCUUCUUGUCAGGGAUUUUUAUUCCCUUCCCCCAGAGUUCAAGCUGAUGGGACGAGUCCACAUGCCUGUCCCCAAUUCAUGGGGGGUGGUGGUGGUGGUGGGGAGAGCAAUCAACAAAGUCUUUUUUUCUCUGAUGUUCCACAAUGGUUUGACUGGUGUCUAUGGGCCUUUUGCUGGGCAGGAGAGAAGGCCUCCUGUAGCAAACCAGUAUUUCGCAGUUGGUAAUGCUUCUCUGCUGACUGGUGAUUUAUAGUUACGGAGCAACCACUUGAAUAUUACCUUAUACCAUGGGACACAGCUAUUGCAAGGGACACUAUUGCCGGCAGCAACUUACAAGCGUCUCAUACAGUCUAAACACGUUUUUCUAACCCUAAUACCUAUUUUAAACAAUCCUGACACACAGGGGAGGCAGACUGGUUCCCAGCUGUGCAUUUGUCAGUGUUUAGUGAGACGUAGGGGCCUUGGCAUGAGCUGGCACCUGGUCUGCCAACUUCCGAGUUAUUAUAAGACAGUAUAGAGUGAAACUAUGCAUAUGUUUGGGGAGCACCAGAAAGUGGUCCAGAGGAGAAGAGCCAAGGAAUCGUGGAGGAUGCAGUGGAGUGACUGGAAGGGCCAAAGGAGGCAUGGGAAACUUGAAGACCGAUUAUUGAUUUGUUUACAGCAGCACCCACAAUGUCCCAGGUGUUUCCCAGCCAUUUGAGGGGGGAGUGGUACCAGCUCCAUGAGGCUCACAGUAUAAGGACAGACAGAGGUGAGGAGAAAGAGAACAACAGAGGGCUUCUAUAAACCCCCCUAUCUCCAUUCACUAUGAGCCGCAUAGCGGAAGUGGGUCUUUGAGACAGGGUGGGAGCGAGGCCUCGCAGAUGAACUGAGGAAGCAGAUUGGUGGAGCUAAGGGGGGCAGAUGGGUCAACGCAGAGCUCGACAAGGGAGGAUAAGUGGGGAGGGGCAGAGUUAUGCAGAGCUUUGAGGAUGGUGAGCAGCAGGUUACAGGUGAUGUGGUGGCAGAUGGGGAGCCAGCAGAGGACUGAAAUAGGGCAGUGAUGUGAUCAGACCGAUGGGCAAGGAAGAUGAUUUUAGCAGCUGUGGAAGGAAUGCAAUGUCGGGUUGUUUGGGUGGCUGGAGCAGAGGAUACUGUUGUAAUCAUGGCAGGGUAUAAAGGCCCAGACAAGAGAUUUGGCUGUGGGGACAGAAAGACCAACACUGAUGGCUUCCCUUCAUGGCAGCCUCAGCUGAGAGAACAAGGUGUGAAUGGGAUAUGGAGAAUGAAUAGCCUUAAACGGACUGUAGCAUAUGGGAAUAGGGUAGUAUCCCUUUAAAUAAUUUGUGAGUCCUCCAGUGGUGCUCACUGUGUUCUAUGUUUCAGAAGCCACUGGAUAUCAGCCAGAGAAGCUGUAUAUAUGUUUCGCUGUAUAGUUAGUAAACAUGGGUAUUUGGGCCAUCACUAACUAUGGGAUUCCUACAUAUUAUGUUUAUUAUGCCAAGAGCAAAGGGCACCAAGGGUGAUGGCCCAUUGGCGUUGUUGAUCGUUGACCCCAGACCUGAUCUUGGAGAGCCUAUAGUUUUGGAUAAAAUAAUAAUGGAAGUUAUUGAAGCCGUCACAGCAAGUAGAAGAACCAAAACAAGAAUUAAGUGUUAGCGCCUAGUUAUUGUGAGUAUUAUGUGCUUAUGAGAUGUGCUUGACCAAAGGUUAUAAAAUUUAGCAAUAUGUAUCUUGUGAUAGUUUAGCAAUGUAUCUUGUAAUACAUAGGGAAACCAGAAAUGAAUAGAUGGUAGCAUUUUAGGGGGUUUUGGUAAUAAGGCUAAUCACAUUAUGUCUGGAAACUCUUGGGAAAGGGAUUGAUGCAAACGGUUGGGUUAACUGUCGGAAAUGUAAUUAUGAUCAACUGGAACACCACAAAUGGACAUUUGGAACCCUAAAAUUGGCUUCCCGAAAUACCAAAUAUGGACAGGAGGCUGAGACUUGACUUGAUCAGAUAUAGCCCUGGAUGUAUGUGGGUGGAAUGGAAAAAGGUAUAUAAAGAUUGUCAAACCCAUCCCUCGCUGGGACACCGGAAUGACAACACUGAGCAACCGGGCAGUAAGCCUGGCACAAUACCUUCCUUUUGUAGCAAUCAUCACUUACUUUUUCUUUCCAUCAUUAUUUGUAAUGGUCUCCAUAAGGAUGUACAAUGUAAGUCUGUAAGUAUGAGCAAUACAAGAAACCAUUUUAGUGUACUUACCUAAUUCUUACACUUACGUAUAUUGAUUUUUCUAUUAUUUCAAUUAUAUUUGUCUGUAUUAACUACAACUCAUAAAGUUUCUGUGUCGCACGUCA
Long non-coding RNA from Trachemys scripta elegans, 5925 nucleotides. RefSeq lists it as uncharacterized. The record is from RefSeq and is a predicted model, not a curated record. The transcript is spliced from 2 exons. Lineage: Eukaryota; Metazoa; Chordata; Testudines; Emydidae.